RNAcentral lists this ribosomal RNA (253 nucleotides) under uncultured bacterium. Its description in RNAcentral is "partial 16S ribosomal RNA". It matches the Rfam family "Bacterial small subunit ribosomal RNA", at positions 524 to 776 of the family's 1533-position model. The record is from RNAcentral.
UACGUAGGUGACAAGCGUUGUCCGGAUUUACUGGGCGUAAAGAGCGCGCAGGCGGUCGAUCAAGUCGAGUGUGAAAGCCCCCGGCUCAACUGGGGAGGGUCAUUCGAUACCGAUCGACUCGAAGGCAGGAGAGGGUAGUGGAAUUCCCGGUGUAGUGGUGAAAUGCGUAGAUAUCGGGAGGAACACCAGUGGCGAAGGCAGCCCCCUGGGUUAACACUGACGCUCAGGCACGAAAGCGUGGGGAGCAAACAGG